UGGUGGUAGUGGCGGCGGGGUGGGGAUGAUUGAAGCGGUGGCGGGGCAGGGAUGGUGAUAGUGGCGGCGGGGUGGUGAGUGUGGCAGCGACCAUGGUGGCGAUAGCCACGGUGCUACUGCUGUCGGUGGCCACGCUGAUGGCGAUCUUGUGGAUGGGGAAGUUCUGGUGGCGGCGGCAGCAGUGGUGGCGACGGCUGCAGUGGUGGCGCUGGUGGCGGUGGGGGUUGUGGUGGUUGCGGGUUCGGCCAGUGCGGCACCGGCAACUGCGGGUUCAGCGCCGAUAUAUGUGACGGCGGCGAAGGGAGCGUCCGGGGCGGCGGCGUUGGCCGUGUCAGGCGCUGCCGGGGAGCCGCCGUAAUGGCGGCCGUGGCGAUUGAGUAAGGAAGGGAGCGGUGGAGAUGGCGGUAGUGGCGGCAGUCGGGGUCUGGGAGAAGCCGAAGGUGGGGCGAUGGCGUCGUUGGUGGCGGCGAUAAAGCUGGUGGUGGAGAAUGGAGAUGAAGUUGGCGACUGUGGCGAAGACGGCGGCAGGCGAGGAGGUCUGUGGGCGCUGGGGCGACCAAGGCAGCGGCGGCGUCGGUGGGAGGAGCUGUCUGGAUGGCGGCGGUGGCAGCGAUUUCCGAGAGACCACGAAGCUCUCCAACAGCACAGUGAAUAAAUGCAACAUGAAUAUAUAUUGAUAUAGUGAAGGCACCCUUCCUUGGAGGUCAUUCUGAUAUUUUUAACUAGCUGACGUGCCUGGAGAGGCCUAUUCCCAGCAUUAUUGCUAUGGAUUGGCCACUUGAACCUUGUCAGCCUACUCUCUAUAAAACCUAGGCUUUUGAGCCAGACAGGGUGAGGGCAAGAGAAGAACAGAAGAGAGUGGAAGGAAGAUGAAACAUGAAAGAAAGAAAAGAGCGAGGAAGGGAGAUAAAGUGGGCUGUAUCCCUCAUGGUUGUGUUUCCCUGUUGUUGGUAUGAGAAAGGCUGAGCCAUUGGGACAGACCUGAGACCACCAGUGCCACUGUGUUAUCCAGACUGGGGGAAAAUAAGCCAGUGCCUCUACCUGAGGCUGACUGAGUGGCUGGGGCAUGCCAGAGAUGCCAGAACUUCUUCCUACCCACAGACAACGAGGGACUGCACCCACACACACACACACACACAGGCAAAGACUGGCUGCCAGAUAUACCUGAGACCACUGGCAUUGCUUUUCCGAGCCUGAAGCUGAGUAGCCAGGAAGAAAUCUGUACCAUUAGCCACUCAUCUCAAAGCAAGGCCGAACUGCAGGAAGAUGCCUGAGAUUGCCACACCUCCUUUGAAGAAGAAAAUGAGGAAGGUAGAUGAAGGUAGGGGCUGCCCCCCUCUGAGUUGUGUUCCCCUGUUACAGAUAUGAGGAAUACUGGGACACACCUGAGACCACCAGCACCACUGUGUGGUCAAGACUCGUCUGCUGGGAAAAGAAGCCCUAGACACCUAGUGCCUCUACCUGAGGCUACGUCUAAGUGGCUGGAGCAAGCCGGAAAUGCCAGAACCUUGACCACAGACAAUGAGAGACUUUGCCCGUGUACAUAUAGGCAAAGACUGGCCGCCAGGAUAAUCCAGAGGCUGCCAGCAUUGCCUCCCCAAGCCUGAAGCUGAGGUGCAAGGAAGACACCUGUACUGCAGCCACUCCUCUUGAGGCAAGGGCAAGCUGCACAACAAAGCUUGAGAUUGCCACAUCUCCUCCUUUGAAGACCAGGACUAACCUGCUGGAAUGAGCCCAAGAUCGCCAAUGUCAUUUCACAGGUGCUCUGAAGACGAGGAACAGUGUGGUCCUGGACUUUUUUACCACUGUAAAUAGAAUAAACCAUGUGA
Long non-coding RNA from Leucoraja erinaceus (little skate), 1829 nucleotides. RefSeq lists it as uncharacterized. NCBI's taxonomy places the organism in Eukaryota, Metazoa, Chordata, Chondrichthyes, Rajiformes, Rajidae. The record is from RefSeq and is a predicted model, not a curated record. The transcript is spliced from 2 exons.